Molecule: long non-coding RNA, 924 nt
Filed under: Salmo salar (Atlantic salmon)
Lineage: Eukaryota; Metazoa; Chordata; Actinopteri; Salmoniformes; Salmonidae
Description: lncRNA (ENSSSAG00000104803.1)
Source: RNAcentral
AAGGGGGGGGGGCGCCAACCCAGACAGGAAGACCACGUCAGUGACUCAACCCACUCAAGUGACGCACCCCUCCUAGGGACGGCAUGGAAGAGCACCAGUAAGCCAGUGACUCAACCCCUGUAAUAGGGUUAGAGGCAGAGAAUCCCAGUGGAGAGAGGGGAACCGGCUAGGCAGAGACAGCAAGGGCAGUUCGUUGCUCCAGUGCCUUUCCGUUCACCUUCACUCUCCUGGGCCAGACUACACGGGUCGGGGACCCUUGGUCUUGUUGUUCCAUCUCCAAGUAUGUGUACUCGGUGGAAAGCCACCUUGUUUACAGUCUCUAUAGGACGUUUCAAGGAGGAUUGCAUGAAUUCUCUGAUCGUGCCCUCUGGAUUAUUGGAUGCGUCCUCAUGAAUCCCAGAUUUUUUUUUUCACGCAUUCUAUAACUUUGUAUGUCUAGUAGCGACUCCUUCAUCAUCCUAUUAACCCUGAAUAGACAAUCCAUAUUGGAAUCGUGGAUUUUUACCUUGGCUGUGAGUGCCUUGUUUUCUCCUUGGAGCGUGAGAAUUUCACUCUGGCUAACUCCAAACACUCCCUCAGCCCUGCUACCUCCUCACACAACUUUUCCAGUGUUGCAUGGAUUCCAGCCAGAGCACUGGCCUCUACUUCAACGGAUGGAGGAGGAGAAGCUGAUGGAGGCGACUUCCUUGACAGGCAAGUUCAAGGUAGCACAGGCCAUUCGGAUAGGGACUGAGGCGGGGAAACAUCAAUUAGGCCCAAGCGUUGUCCUGCCAUAGGAGUUGAGAAAGUUCCAAUCUGCAUUUUCCCCAUAAAUUCGCAAAGAAGUGAGAUUUGUUUGCAAAGCAUGGCCACCUCAUUUCUGUAGUCCCCCAUGAGCAAACAAUUGCCGCAUUGGAACUCCGGAUUGUCAAUAUUGUCCCAGAC